GCCACUCUGCAUGUUAGAAAAAUGUCAAUUAUUCUGAAGAGGUUAGCAAUGCUACCUGGCAUCUGCUCCACAAUGGUGAUUAUGAUAUCACCGUUCUUGUUGUAGCAACAAGCCAGUCUCUGAAAUGUUUUCCAGAGGUUUGCAUUUGUUGACUCCAUUGACUAUUUUCUUGAUAAUGUAGCUGGGAUAAACUAGAAAACAAGUUUCCCCAUGGUCAGCUGGAAAUACUCAUAUUGCACUUGGACGGAGCAGAUUGUUUCUGAAGAGGGCCAGUGAUGAGCACCAGUUCCCUCCUUGCCCAGGCCAACAGCGUUUCACAGGACCCCUGGGAUCGUCCUGAUGGUUCUCUUCCAAACAAUGAUCUAGAAAGAUGCCCCGUGUCAAGUUGCUUGCCUUUCGAAGGUCUUCAAAUCAUUGUUCCUCCAUAUCAUAUUCAGAGCUAGUGCUUUCAUGCUGAUGUGGAAACAUCUAAGAGGACUCAUAAUGUCAACAUGCAUUUCCCCAAUAAGUAAACAAGAGAAAUGACACUGACAAGAACAAGAAAUGAUUAUUUCUUCUGCCAAAGUUGGAAGCGACCAGAUACGGAUGUGCGUAUUUUAAGAUCAUGGUUUGUGCUGUUGGAGUAGGAAUAAGUAAAAGCUCUUUAAUUUGAAUCUGAAAAGAAAAUGAAAAUUCAAAGGGAUCCUUGCU
RNAcentral lists this long non-coding RNA (690 nucleotides) under Homo sapiens (human). RNAcentral describes it as "non-protein coding lnc-TBXT-2:2". The record is from RNAcentral. Lineage: Eukaryota; Metazoa; Chordata; Mammalia; Primates; Hominidae.